UACGUAGGGUGCAAGCGUUAAUCGGAAUUACUGGGCGUAAAGCGUGCGCAGGCGGUUAUGUAAGACAGUUGUGAAAUCCCCGGGCUCAACCUGGGAACUGCAUCUGUGACUGCAUAGCUAGAGUACGGUAGAGGGGGAUGGAAUUCCGCGUGUAGCAGUGAAAUGCGUAGAGAUGUGGAGGAACACCGAUGGCGAAGGCAGCCCCCUGGGUCAAGAUUGACGCUCAUGCACGAAAGCGUGGGGAGCAAACAGG
This 253-nucleotide ribosomal RNA is filed under the name uncultured bacterium. RNAcentral's name for it is "partial 16S ribosomal RNA". It matches the Rfam family "Bacterial small subunit ribosomal RNA", at positions 524 to 776 of the family's 1533-position model. The record is from RNAcentral.